GGAAAUGAAACAUCAAUAGGUCCUUCUUGCUCGUUCAUUCUUUAGCUGGAGAAUCUGUUGAUGAUGGAUCUGCAUGCGCUGAGGAAGAUUUCAGUGGUUGAGGUGAGAGCCUCCUUUGGAGCUUCACCAACUACUUUCUGUCCUCUGCAUUUGCUGAGGUCCUACCUUGCUGACAAUUUGUGAUGCUUAACAAUGUCUGAGGUCUGUGAUGCUUAAUGCUUGAUUGUGCUGACCAAUCAUUCGGCUGGAAUUCCAGAUGCAAUUGAAAAGAGGGCGCGCGACUACUAGAUUCCUGAUCUGACCAUGAAGUUUGAUCCAUAACUUUACAAUUUAGCUCUCUCGGGUCUUGUUUUCGUGGAGACUUUCAUUAGUAAGGUUUCUUGCGUUGAUGUUAAGCAACUGACUAGUUACUAAUGUAUUCUUGCGGAGAUCAGUACGACGAUUGAUCUUAGGUUGCAUCUGAUAAUUUACAUAGUGAAUAUUGUAACUGGGAGACUGAGAAUGCAGAACAUAGGAAAUAUGAAAUAUAUACAAUACUAUGAUAUGUGAAUGAAUGUAAGUUAUAAUGCUUGGUAGCAUUGCAGAUAUUGGGAUUAAACUCCUCAAGUUAUAGAAAAAGGUAAGAGAAAGCUUUGCCUUUCAUUCCAUGGCUUGAAAUAAUUAGUUUGGAAGGAAAAAGUCUGCUUGUUUUUGAC
Molecule: RNA transcript, 695 nt
Organism: Fragaria vesca subsp. vesca
Lineage: Eukaryota; Viridiplantae; Streptophyta; Magnoliopsida; Rosales; Rosaceae
Exons: 3
Source: RefSeq, a predicted model, not a curated record